GAGAUUUCAAACGUAGUUGGCUUUUCUAAAUAUAAAACUAAUUAAAACUAACACAUGUAUUAAUAUUUCAUCACUGUUUACAAGUGUUGUUGAAUUUGAACUGAAUGCGCGCGUAACGUAACGUUUACGUAACGUGACUAUCCACAUGAGUAGAUCCCAACGCGACGUGACGGACAUGCCAGCAGUGAAACACACUGCUCAACAGUCUGGAAGUUUCCUACUUCAGCCAGAUGGACACCCGUUUCAGCAAACGUGGCAGGAAGGCUGAGGAUAAUGAAGCUAACCCCAAGCUGCUACACGCUGUGGAAGAGGACCUGGCACAAGAAUGUGAAGAGGUCCCUAUUCAUCCAAAGAAAAAAAAGCUAAUCAAAUAUUCCCCAAGGAAAACCAUGUCUCCAACAGGUGCAUUGGAGUUGGCCAAACUGAAGGAACAAACCAAGAUGGACCGACAGAAGAUAGAACACCUUGAGGAGCGCAUUAAUUACCUGGAGGAGGCCAUCAAGGACCUGAAAGCUGACAAGGACGUCCUACUUGCCAAAAUUAAGGAAGCUCCCAGCACACUUACAUCUUCUGGGAAAGGCAGAAAGACUGCUCCAGAACCUUCUUCAUCUUCGACUUCAACAUCGACAUCUCCCUCCUCAGACUCCAGCUUCUUAUUAUCCUCAGAAGAAGAGAAGAAAAAGAAAAGGAAGAAGUCCAAGAAAAAGACCAUUAAGUCAAAAAAACACACUGAAUCAUACAGCGGUUCAAGAAAUGGAGUGAUCCGUCGCUAUAAGGAUGUCCUUCGUAUCUUCAAAAAGUGUGGAUCCAUGAAGAAAGCCUUUGUGAAAAUGAAUGUUGAUCGAAACACAAUUGCACGCACAGCUAUAAUUGCUUAGCUAGCAAUGUUUUGUGUUGAAAUACAUAAAGGAAAAACUAUCUCUUGACUUGUCUGUUGCUUUUGUUAAGGUAUUAUUAUCAUCUGACAGUGUAAUAACACUUAAUUACAUUUUAACGAAACAUUCAAAUCGUUCCACUUUACUUGAAUUCAAAGAAAACAGUCAUGACACUUAUAAACUGGUUUUACUAAGUAAUUAC
Long non-coding RNA from Gasterosteus aculeatus aculeatus (three-spined stickleback), 1077 nucleotides. The record is from Ensembl. NCBI's taxonomy places the organism in Eukaryota, Metazoa, Chordata, Actinopteri, Perciformes, Gasterosteidae.